UGCUACAGGCUUAACACAUGCAAGUCGAGGGGCAGCAUUUCUUUUUGCUUGCAAACUGGAGAUGGCGACCGGCGCACGGGUGAGUAACACGUAUCCAACCUGCCGAUAACUCGGGGAUAGCCUUUCGAAAGAAAGAUUAAUACCCGAUGGUAUAAUCAGACCGCAUGGUCUUGUUAUUAAAGAAUUUCGGUUAUCGAUGGGGAUGCGUUCCAUUAGGCAGUUGGUGAGGUAACGGCUCACCAAACCUUCGAUGGAUAGGGGUUCUGAGAGGAAGGUCCCCCACAUUGGAACUGAGACACGGUCCAAACUCCUACGGGAGGCAGCAGUGAGGAAUAUUGGUCAAUGGGCGCAGGCCUGAACCAGCCAAGUAGCGUGAAGGAUGACUGCCCUAUGGGUUGUAAACUUCUUUUAUAUGGGAAUAAAGUGAGCCACGUGUGGCUUUUUGUAUGUACCGUAUGAAUAAGGAUCGGCUAACUCCGUGCCGGCAGCCGCGGCAAUACGGAGGAUCCGAGCGUUAUCCGGAUUUAUUGGGUUUAAAGGGAGCGUAGGCGGGUUGUUAAGUCAGUUGUGAAAGUUUGCGGCUCAACCGUAAAAUUGCAGUUGAUACUGGCGACCUUGAGUGCAACAGAGGUAGGCGGAAUUCGUGGUGUAGCGGUGAAAUGCUUAGAUAUCACGAAGAACUCCGAUUGCGAAGGCAGCUCACUGGACUGCAACUGACACUGAUGCUCGAAAGUGUGGGUAUCAAACAGGAUUAGAUACCCUGGUAGUCCACACAGUAAACGAUGAAUACUCGCUGUUUGCGAUAUACAGUAAGCGGCCAAGCGAAAGCAUUAAGUAUUCCACCUGGGGAGUACGCCGGCAACGGUGAAACUCAAAGGAAUUGACGGGGGCCCGCACAAGCGGAGGAACAUGUGGUUUAAUUCGAUGAUACGCGAGGAACCUUACCCGGGCUUAAAUUGCAUUUGAAUAUAUUGGAAACAGUAUAGCCGUAAGGCAAAUGUGAAGGUGCUGCAUGGUUGUCGUCAGCUCGUGCCGUGAGGUGUCGGCUUAAGUGCCAUAACGAGCGCAACCCUUAUCUUUAGUUACUAACAGGUCAUGCUGAGGACUCUAGAGAGACUGCCGUCGUAAGAUGUGAGGAAGGUGGGGAUGACGUCAAAUCAGCACGGCCCUUACGUCCGGGGCUACACACGUGUUACAAUGGGGGGUACAGAAGGCAGCUACCUGGUGACAGGAUGCUAAUCCCAAAAGCCUCUCUCAGUUCGGAUCGAAGUCUGCAACCCGACUUCGUGAAGCUGGAUUCGCUAGUAAUCGCGCAUCAGCCAUGGCGCGGUGAAUACGUUCCCGGGCCUUGUACACACCGCCCGUCAAGCCAUGAAAGCCGGGGGUACCUGAAGUACGUAACCGCAAGGAGCGUCCUAGGGUAAAACUGGUAAUUGGGGCU
RNAcentral lists this ribosomal RNA (1441 nucleotides) under uncultured organism. Its description in RNAcentral is "SSU rRNA". It matches the Rfam family "Bacterial small subunit ribosomal RNA". The record is from RNAcentral.